CAGAAGUUUGGAUAACGCUGCAAUCUGAAAAAAAAAAAAAAAAAAAGGUGUAAAGAGGUGGUAACUUCACGAGCUACCACCUUAUGUGUACGUUACCUCACGUACGUAACUGACCUCGUUGCCACCUUCAUUGUAGGGUGUUAAAAUCCUGCAAGUUUUGUGACUGUGUGCAUUUAACACAAAUUGUGCGUCUCUUCCAGUGUUGCGGAUUUGAAUCCACGGAUUUUAUUUAAAUCCGGAUUUAAAUCCACCGGAGGGCUGGCGGAUUUGAUUUGCGAUUUGAUUUGCGCAAAAAAAUAUGGGCAGGAUUUGGAUUUGGAUUGAAUCGCAUUUUCCACUAAUGAUUUGGAUUUGGAUUGAAUCGCAUUUUCCACGAAUGAUUUGGAUUUGGAUUCAAUCGCCCCUUUUUCAGCGGAUUUGCGCGUGAAUUUCGCCAAGCUCCCUCACAAGAUGCAUAAAUUUUAAAUUGAGCGAAGCGCCGUUUCGCAUUCUACACGAACUGAUGUGACCUUGUCUGAAAUCUGCACACGCACCCAAGCAGCAAAAUGCACUGAAAGUCGAGUGCAAUAGGGGUGGACGGGUAGAUGAAAGGCCUUGAACAGAUUCAUGAAACUAUAGAACAUUGAUAAGACACAUAUCGUCCACCCCUAAUGCACUCGACUUCCAGUACAUUGUGCUGCUUGGGCACUAGCGGCGUCCUCUCUCCACAGUGGCAGGAGUAGUCGUUUUGUUCCAAUCACAAUCACCGAGGGAACCCGUUUCAUGCUUGCCAAAUCAUGUCGCGAAAUUCUUGGUCUUCGCCAUCAUAUUGAACGCAUAUAGGUACACGCAUUCACGUCAAAACAAAGUAAACACGAAUAUAUCACAUCCUAUCAUUUCGUGAUUUCGGGAAUUAAAGCCUUUCCUACUCCCACGGACAAUCAAGGCAAGAUGUGCCACUCUUCCUCGCAUACCUUUUUUUUCUUCCUUGAUUACAACAGCCUGGACUGCGCGAGGAAAAUUUUUACAAAGCCCCGAAACGUCAGCAUCAAAAUAGACCCAUGGGCUCAGGGGCGGAUUUAAGGGUCUAUGUUGGAGCUGGGGGGGGGGGGCGGUCUUAAGGAAAUUUCGUGCUUUGCGGCGUAGCAUCGUCCAGGAGACAGGGUUUUUACAUAGGGAACACGACCGUAUGGGAGGCGGUCGCCCCCCCACCCCCAUCCCACCCCCUUAAAUCCGCUCCUGCCACAUGUUUAGUAUAAGUAUUCGUAACAUGCCCCACGAUUUAUUAACUAUUCAUUUAAUUGUGACCCCCAGGGUAUAGUAACCAACGACCUGUGAUCUUUCGAGUACUGAUGGUAGAAAUCGACGCAGGCGUGUGUUUUUGUGCGUAGCUGAGCCUAGGCCCGCGAUAGGAAUUCCUUCACUCAGGCGUGUUCGCCCGGUGUUAAAUGACGAGGAGGUUCCUGACCCAAAAUCCGCUUUUGGGAAGGUGUACCAUACCUACCAACUCCACACUAUUCAUGCCCUGUGAAGCCCGAGUCAACACCAACACGAUACGUGAUGAUGGAGGUGGGGGUUGUGCACCGCCCCUCCCAGAGCGAGUCAUCUACGAUUCAAUGCACUUUUAGUAUCACUUUUUCUAUUUUGAUAUAACACAAAAAUUUAAGGGCACUUAACGAAUUACGUGUUGGCAAUGCAACAGAAAGUGCGGCUGAUUUUCGAUAAAGUUUUACUAUUUUCUUUUUGGAUGCCUUCAACUCAACUCCCAUCAUUCAUUCAUUACAUGUAGUUUCGUUGGGCUUCCCUUUGCGCACCUCUUCCACUGGCAUUGCGCAAUUCCGCGCGCCGGGGUGGCCAGCUGUCGUCUACGCGCCGGCGAGCAGAGCCGUCUGAACCAACGGGGAAUUAAAUGACGGAGCACGAGUUUUUCUUCGUGAGGAGGAAUCUAAUGCUAUCACACUGCAGGCCGACGCAGCUCUGGGCUCGGGCAAUGCUCGGGACUGCCUAGCUCUGGGGGAAGUACUCAUGCCCUCCAAAACGCGGCCGGUGUUAGCUUCCAGCUAAUCGUACGGCGGCUGGUCGCACGUGAAAUACGACAUCCACAUUCAACGAUCCAACGAUCCGAAAUGGCUGCGCGUCUUCAACCUUUAAGAAGGAGCACGCUCGGCAUGCCCGUUGCCCGCAAGGGGCGUGGGAACGCUAGAGGUGACACAGUCAGGCCGCCUUCUGUCCACUCUUGGGUAGUUCCUUUUUAAAUUGAAAAGCGUGGGAAACUGACAAUUUUUAAUUUCCAUGAAAAAAUAUUUAUGUUAGAUAGCAUCUCGAUUGAUGACAAAUGCAACAAUUUCGAACUCCAUCCGAUGAACCGUUUCUGAUAUGGAGAGGCGGAAGGUUGCGGCGGCGUAUGUUGGUUCGAAUUUUUUCCCAACUUUGACCUCAUAGCAACGCGCUUCUUGUUUUACCACAUCCUUCAAAUUUGGCUGAUAAAAACUAUGGGUUAAGACAGCACGCGGAAAAAGUCCCGUGACUCCUACUUUAAAGGGGCGCUACGAACAAAUUCACGAACACAGCACUUCCGGCAAAAAAUGUACGAUUUGGAACUUUUAUUGUUCAUGAGCGGGUACACGCAUUCCCUUGAAGGUAGAUUCAUUAGAACUGCUAACUCAUCCUUUAUCGAGUGGUAUAGAUAUCAUUUAUAUAGCUCCUGUGGUAGAGCGAGCAGACGGCUGUAAGUAGAAGCAACUCGCCAAAUUGCUCCCCCCCAAUCGCCCCCAAAACGUGAGUUUAUACAUUGAAUUUCCCUCUCCCCCCUCCCCCACUACGCGCUCCGACAAAGGAACCGCCCCCCAAACCGAGCGUCUGGAUCCGCGCCUGAUCCUGACCUGACCUUACCUGAUCCGCGCCUGACGUAUCAGCCUGACACAGGCUGAUACGUGGUGACUGAUAGUCUGGUACCAUGCCGAGCAGGCGUAACCGAAAACGUCCUAAAAUAUGAAUAAAAUUUCGGCCAGCGGAUUGAUAGGUUGGCCUUUUAAUCCUUCAAUCAGACGAAAUUUAUUGCUCUUUGUGCCACGUCACGCUGUUAUUUAAGCGUUGUUUAGUGAAUACGUGCAGUAUUUAGACACGGUUAUAGGUCUAGUAAUGCUGCUGCACGAAUUUUGGCUCCCGGAUUUGUCAAAAGAUUCGAUAAAUCCGGAUUUAAAAGCGGAUUUGAUUUAGGUCCGGGAAAACAAAUUCGGAUUUAAAAGGAUUUGAUUUAACGUGUCAAAAUUAAAUCCGGACUUGAUUUUGUAUUUGAUUUACUACCUUCAGAAAAAAUGCGGAUUUGAUUUAAAUCCGAUUUGAGCGGCCAAAUCCGCAACAGUGGUCUCUUCAGCCGCCCUCGGUUGCUCAGUCGGUACCGUGUCGGCCUGCUGAACCCAAGAUCGCGGGUUCAAACCCGACCGCAGACGGUGGCAACUUGGUGGAAGGGUACAAGUUGUUCAGAAGCGCCGUCUUCGGCGGGGGACGUUAAAUGUGGUGUACCAUGGGUUGAGAUUUCGUCGCAUGUCAAAAGAACCCUCAGGAAGGCAAUAUUAAUCCACAGACCCGAUCACUGCGGCGUCGCUCAUGAUCGCAGUUGUCUCGCGACCUAAAGCCCCGAAUUAUUAUUAUUACACCCUCUAUAGGUGGCAGAGUUACCUGCUGCUUAUGGUAAUGUUACACCCUUGCAUGGGGGUGUAACCAUGCACCCAUAACCAGGAGUGUGCAAUCUUCUGGGCGCAACAUAUGUAGCAGGCAAGGGUACCUAAAGGGUGUGACGAUUCCACCUUUUGUUCUCAGAGUGUGGCUUCGAGUAGCCACCCUUGACAGGAUUUUUCGAAUUGCUGGAGUCACGUGCUGACGGACUGGGUCACGUGACGUUACGUCAUACCUAACUCGCGGGUUACACGAGUUGAAUAAAAAAAAAACGUUCCCUUAAGAUCAACCGCUUUGCAUCAACCCUCCGUCGGCGAACGCCAUGUGCUCCUAAGGCGAGCGGUUUUGGUUUCGGUUGAUUUGCAUAGCGAAAUUUGGCGAAGGAUAUUUCACAGCACGGGCUCGUUUCAGGAUUUUUAAAAGCUUUCAACGAGGAUUGUCUCCCACUCUGCUGUCUCGCUUUUGGCGGAAAUCCCCUAACUAAAGAGUUGAUUAAUGAAUUUUAGUUAACUCGUCAUCUUGUGGUUCAAUGCUCUCUUCGAGAAGAUGUCCACCUGGCCUUAAAGUUAAAAAAAGACGUUUAUGCUGCUCUCAUAUUCCUGCAUAUCCAAAUUCGUACGAAAACCCGUAUGCCAGAAAAUUGACACAAAAAUGAUAUCGUUCUCGUCAAGACAGUAAAAGUAAGUAUUUUGCCGCCACUGUCUUUACGUGGCUGUCAACACGGCGUGGUAUAAUAAUUAUGUCCAACAAGCCAGGUGAAGAAUAACAAACCAUAAACUGGAAGGCGAAGACCAGUGAUACUAGCUAGAGCUGACACGCAACUAUGUAUCAGUAGAGUACAAGCAUACGAGGAGCUGUGAAAUGAAAAUUAGAAGUGCUCCAAGCCCCGCCUAAUUAAUCGAAAAGUCUAUCAGGGGGAUCAUGCAAAAUACUUUCGUAAGACGCUGUGGUACUCCGCAGUUCAAUUUACAAAAAUGACAGGAACAUGCAGGUGCGGUUCAUUUUGCUUCCCUGAGGUCAGGGGUAUUCUGUGAUGUAGCAGCUGCGAAGCGCUCACCGGAGACGUGUAUAAAAAAGGCGCCCACAAAAGAGGCUCGACGUGUCAAUCAAACUUGAGGGCUUUUCAUUGGUUGCAGUUUUCUAUGGGGCCGCCAUGACACCAAAAUUUCCCGAAAAUAACAGUGUAGCGAGAAAAUCGUGACAAUUUUUUUAAUCACAAAUUGCUUUAAUUGCGUUCUGCAAACAUAUGAUCUCUCGUAAAUAUCUUGGAAAUCACCUUUAAAUUACGCGAAAAGAACAUGUUUCUACGUCGUUCUUAGGCGUAGGAGAAAGUCCCAAGAAAAUCCCGAGGGAAUCGUUAGGAAAACGCCACUGAUGCAAAAAAUUUUGCGUCGUAUUAUGCCAUUUUAUUUACAUACACAUGUUGGCCCGUUUUUGUUCCACUACUUAUGAUUCGCAAUUAAACGGUCAUACCGGAAGCCGUCUCUGCUUCCAAAAAGCGGUUCUGCCGCUGUAUCGGUUCUGCUGGCCAACGGUUCUGGCGUUCAGCGUCUUCUCGAUAUCCUUUCUCCAUCGAGAGGGCUCCGAUAAAAGUGACAAAAUCUGCUUUGGUGUUAGGUCGCUAGAGAUAUCCGUUUCGGUCCAAUUCAAUUCAGUUUCCUGAAAAUGAUUGCACCCAAUAAAUAAGGGCCUGAAAUAAUAACGAAAUGCAUUUUCGCUGGUGAUUAGCCAGACACCUCAAAAUGCGGGUGGAGCUCCAGGUAUAGGCAAGCCCCAUUGAAGGGCACUACAUUUAGAAUACAUUUUUUGUCACAAUACUUUGUCAUGUGCCUCAUGACAUCUUCCUGAUAUCUGCCAGACAUUUUUUUUCACGAAUAUUUCGUUUACCUUCGUCAAGAUAUACGGUGGUACUACACGUAUGAAACCAGCGCACAAUUGGUGUCAAAACAUCACCUCGUACGAUGGUCUAGGAAACAGUUGCGUCCCUGCGUCAUGCAAUGCACGACAUUAUACAUUUCAUGUCAAAACAUCUCGUAUGAGACCUCGUAUGAUAGUCUAGAAAAUCCGAUCAACAAAGAACAAAGAUGUUGACCAGCACACGCUUCUUUUUCUUCACUUUGAUUUUCCCUCGCGCACCUUGGCGCGAAACGAGCGCGUUUGCACCGGCAUCCCCGGGACGGCGCUGCCUGAGCCGUCGGCUGACGUGGUUUCAAUGCAAUACCACUCCGCGUUUGAAGUACAGAAGGCGAAACGCGGGUGGUAUCAGCAUGAAACCACCGCCCUUCAAAGGGACUAUCGCAUCCGGGAACGUACGUAUGAUACCGAUUGGAUCAUGUUCGUCCUUGUUUCAGAGUUAACUUUGCCAAAUUUCUCUUCCGAAAACAGCAUACAUAUUAAGUAAACGAGUUUUAAAGGUUCGCAUUCCAUCUGCAACCAACACGAUGAUGCGUAAGCCAGGCACACGAAUGGGAGCGCAGCGAGUAGUAUAUGAUCAGCUCAAGUAUCCGGAAACUCACGCAGAGGCCUGGACGCCAUUAGUUAGCAAUUAGAGUUAAUUGGGACCUCCCACUGUAAUUAGGAUCAUUCAGUGAGUCAUUACACUAAUUGGGGAGCAUUUAAGACGUGUCCAGACCACAGUGUGAGUUGCCGGCUAGUUGAGCAGGUAAAAAAUAAAAAAUAGGUAGAAAAUCAAAUAAAAAGAUAGAAAUAGAGUGGAGAGAAGGAGUUUAGUUGAAGAACAAACACGCCAUCUUGAAGAAAGCGGUCCGGAACCGCCGCUGACCAUCGCUGGCCGAUGAUGCACAGAGGCAGGUUGGAAAGCAUCUUCAGCUGCGACCACCAGUUCCGGACAUCCUGUGACGUCAGCUGUGACGUCAUCAUGGCAUGUCUGGACAGGUUAGGACAGCUCUGGACAUGCAAGGAGAAAAACACUCAUAAUACAGAGGCUGGGAAAGCAAGAGUAAAUAUGCUAAUCAUCAAUAGCUAUCAACAAAAAGAAUCAGGCACAGAAGCAAAGCAGCCCACCACAACAGCAGUCACCGGGAGCGCAGACCGAUGCGACUGCUCCAUCCGACAGCCAGGCACAGAACUGGAUCAAAAUGCUUUUUUCUCCUCUAUAAAGUCACGCAUCAGCAGCACCCCUGGCGGUUACUUUCUCAACUAAUUUGAUGGCAAAAUUAUUAAGAAUCAUGCCAGCGGUACUCUCGUUCCCAAGGCAGAAGAAGAUAGAAAAUGACGGGGAUGCCCGGACAACAGCAACCAGCGCCUGACGUGCACGGGCAUGAAAAUCAUAAAAAAGGGGGGACAAAGUUAUCACGUGCGAAAGAAUUAGUUACACAACAAAUCAGCCCACCACAACAGGAGUCACGGGGAGCGCAGAACGAUGUGACUACUCCAUCAGACAGCCAGGCACAGAACUGACUCAUAAUGCUUUUUUAUCUUCUAUAAAGUUACGCAUCAGCAGCCCCCUUAGCAGUUACUUUCUCAACUAAUUUCAUGGCAAAGUUAUUAAGAAUCACGACAGCGCUACUCUCGUUCCCAAGGCAGAAGAAGAUAGAAAAUGGCGGGGAUGCCUAGACAACAGCAACCAGCGCCCCACAUGCACGGGCAUGAAAAUCGCAAAAAGGAGGGACAAAAUUGGCGAAAGGAUUAGUUACACAACAACUCAGCCCACCACAACAGGAGUCGCAGGGAGCGCAGAACGAUACAACCUUUCUAUCCGACAGCCAGGCAGAGAACUGAAUCGUAAUGCUUUUCAUUCCUCUGUAAAGUCAUGCAUCUGUCCCUCUUGCAGUUACUUUCUGAACUAAUUUAAUCGCAAAAUUAAUAAGAAUUGUUCUAGCACUAUUCCCAUUCAGGGCAGCACUAGCGUCAUCGUCAAGACAAGAAUGAUCAACAAGAAUCUUUCUUGUCAAAAAAGAAAAAAAUACAGAGCGUCACAAAGGAAAGCACACAGGUCGGAGCAUGUCAAGACACGUCAGGACAAAUCGCACGAGCGCUGGCCAACAGAGGAAAGCACACACUUGAACAGACUCACAAAAGACACUCACCGUCAUUGGACACUUACACUGCAUUCCCUCAUUCUAAAUUCCCUCGACACAAAAUCCACCAUUCACCAGUGACGAACCACACACCCAUACCCCAUCAGAGGCAAACAGAACCCUAUCGAAGCUACGCUUUUCCACUAAAGGCCGACACAAUUGCUAGGAACAGAAUUAGCGCGUCCACACCCGCCAGUGUCCAAGAGACAAGUGAAUCCUUGCGCCCUCUGCAGGCUUUGCUCAUUGGUCGUGACGUCAUUCUAUUGUCUCAGGGCUACACUGUUUUUUUCCACUAAUGCUCAACUGGACAAGAUCCACCUGAAACAAUAGAGCCGCGGCAUGACGUCAUCACCCAUGCAUGCAUGCACCUGCAUGGCUCAAGGACGCGUACGCUCUAGACAGCGGACCUGUUAUUUAUUGAAUCACUAUUCCAAGAUUAUUGCCUUUAUUCUGCUAUAACAGUUGCAUAGAAAACCUACUGCAGAAGAGCAAGCAUUCUUAUCCCAAUGACUUAGGAUAUUUUGUUCUUUUGCGUGUCGCAUUUACUAGCACCAUCAGUGGCUAAUAACGUGGACUAGGUACACAAAAGAUCAACACAGAGCAUGGUUAACAAGGAGCGCAGAACCAUGUGUCCCCUCCAUCUAAGAGUCAGGCUGAGAACUGAAUAAUGAUGCUUUCUUCCUCCUGAAAGUCACAUGCCAAUUCCCCUUGCGGUUAAUUUACGAACUAUAAUUUAAUCGCAAAAUUAUUAAGAAUCGUGGCAGUGGUACUCCCGUCCAGAUCAAGGGUGUGGAAACACUAUCGUCAUCAACUGCUCAUGCUCAACUGGACAUGGUCCACCUGAAACAAUAGAGCCGCGGCAUGACCCAAGCAUGCAACUACGUGGCUCAAGGACGCGUACACUGUAGACAGGGGACCUGUUACUUAUUGAACCAUUUUCCCAAUAUUAUUUCCUUUAUUCUACUAUAACGAUUGCAUAGGAAACAGAAAACAUGAGAGGUGAUUGUAGGAAUUAAGCAUUUCAUUCCCAAAGUCUUACUAAAUGAGACUUGCAAAAGAACAAAAUAUCUUAACACCAUCAAUGGCUACAUACAACAGCUAAUCGAGACAUGUCCAUCCCAUCCGAGAGCCAGGCAGAUAACUGAAUAAUGACGCUUUGUUCCUCCUGAAUAAAGCCACACACCCUUGCGGCUACUCUCUGAACUAAACGAAUAGCAAAAUUAUCAAGAACAGCUCUACUCCCAUUCAAGGCAGCACUAUCGACAAGACGAGAAUGUUCCUAGUCAAAAAGAAAAAAACUACAUGUGGAAGGAAAGCAUGGCAGAACAGGGGAGCUAUUCUCGUCAAAGUAAGCUACUUGCUUACUUUACACGUCACGAGCUGUUAGGCUGAGCCACCGCGACAAGCUCCGCCUGAACGCUCCUCCCAUUUCUAGGGACAUUUAUCCCCAGCGCAUACACAGCGUGUAGAGCAUCACAGCUUAUGAUCUACAGUGGCGCUGUGUACCGGAUUUAAAUAGGUUGCACGGUAACAAAGACGGAGAAACAGUAGUACAACGGGUUAUACGUGUUAAACAUGCAGAAAUACUAUUAUGACGUCGUAAUAUUAUUGUCGCUAUACAACUUUCCUCAUAAACGGAGGCUCUGACAAUUUUGGCGUGACAUGCUUGGCGGCGGGCUGCCGCCGCCGCCGCCGCUACGAACCGACAACGACGCCACUGCCGGACUGGCGUCCCGAUUUUCUCCAAAAAAGAAAGAAAGGAAGAGACGAUUUGUGAAUGUUUUGGUAGCGUUUUGACUUACCUUAGCCGAUUUUAGCUAAAUGCUUCUUUAUUGCAUUUUGUACACAAACUACUUGGCCUGAAACCAGCGAAACUAUGAUUUAGGCAUUCGGCCAUUCUGUUGUGUGACGGGGUACGUUGUAGCGGAAUGGUGAAAGUAGGUGUUUGGGCACAUUCCCUCCGAUGCCAAUACAUGGGUUAGUGGUGAUGUUGCCCACAUUUGUGAGGCCGACUACAGCUGGCUCAACAGCCACCACAUACGGACGACACCGAGCAAGCCGAAACCGAAACUGCGCGAUUCAGGACGGCGUGACCUUCGGAGUAACGACAUUAUCCUGGUGAAAAAAUGGUUAAUUAUGGCCAACUGAACAUGAACACACAUUUUUUUUCUCCAAAAGCGCGUUAAAGGAGCGCUGUCCUCCCUGCGCUCCUGUGUUGCGCAGUUUCGGUUUUGGUUGUGGUUACGCUCCUGCAUAGCGAAAUUCGAAGAUGAAUAUUUCAGCGUACGUGCUUGGUUCAAGGUUCACGCCUGAUGACUAAUUUCAAUCACCUUUAUCGUCAGCACGAUGUCGAUCCUGUUGUGCCCUGCAGUUUAUUUUCUAGUGCUGUGUAACCAAUUGUUCAUCUGUGCAUUAGGCGUGUGUGUGUGUGUUGCGUUUCUUAUUUCGUUUUAGCUUGGUGCGCACCAUUAAGUUGGUCUUCUUAAGUUCUUCAUGGGCAGUAACAAUAAACUUGAAAGUUGAAGGUUUUCUGUCUUUUUCUUUUUUCGAAAUAAAAUGGCCUGCAGCAGGGACUGUCUUGCAUUCUGCUGUCUCAAGCUGCAUGAAAAAUCAAAAAUAAGUAAAUCAAUGAGUUUCGGUAUUUAGUGGACUAGUUAUUGCUCGUUCUCUUCGAGAGAAUUUCCGACUGGUCGUGUGUAUGUAUGUUCAUAGUAAUAAUUUCUAGAUUUGCCUUGCGACGUAAGUAAAUGAGCAUGAGCGACACUACAGUGUCCGCACUGGUUCGUUGGAUAAUUUUGUUUUCCUAAGGGUUCUUCAAAGUACGCCGAGAUCGCAACAGUCGGCAUACCGUAUUUGACGUUCCACUGCAGCUGUCACGAAGUUUUUAGCGUCCUCUACGGGCAUCGAACCCGCGACCUUUGGUACAGAAGGCGAGCACGCUACCCACCAAGCCACCGAGGUGCAUUUUUAGAGGUAGAAGCUCCCUGCUAGAUGACUCAAUUGUCAAACCCCGAAAACAAAUAUUCUCAAAAAUUCUCAAAGAAGGACACCGUGUGAUAAUUAUGUGAAUAAUACUUCUGUGCUUAGCAGAUUUUAGCGCAAUAUAUUUGACUGGUCUUCCGCUCCGAUGUCAAUACAUGUAUGCAGAGUACAUCAACAGCGGUUUCUAGCGGAAUUGUUGAGGUGCUCUGGUGAUGUACACCCCUUUGGCAACGCUGGCCCCGUCACUUCGUCUCAUUUCAUAUCGUACCAUGUCGUCCGACGAAGCAGCUGCACCGACUACUCGGACCUCGAGGGUUCCCCAAAUUUCGCGGGAAAGGAUGGAAGCCCUAGUGAGCUACAUGGAGGCUCACCGCCACCUUGCAAAUCCCGCACACGAAAUGUCCGGGAACCCACGAGGUGGAGGGACCCUCGACGCACAGUGGAACGUGCUUACAGAAGUCCUAAAUAGGGGCCAAGGUAAAACGGUAUAAAGCGGCACUGGUAAGAUUACACGUCAAACAAGAAGCUUCUUCUUGUAUCAAGCCAGUGUGUAGAAGGUACGCUGAUGCAUGAGCCUUUUUCACUUCUGUGAAAUGUCGCCGCUCGUCCUGUCGUGUUCUUCGCUUGUGUUUGGUCUUCCCUGCGCUUUACCAUACCGAAAAUUUAUAAGCUUUCUGUCAUGGCCAUGUCAUACUGUCUGCAGUUUGGUCAUCCAUGGAGUCCUUCGUGUUCUAUGCAGCAUUUCAAUGUUCACUUCCCCACAGCAACCUCAGUCCCGCCACGGCUACGGAGGCGUCGGGAGGUCAUGGAGAGCCGCGUGGAUGAAUUGAUGGCGGGGUCCGCGGAACACAGGCAUGUCAUGCGAGAGCUCACCGAGCAAGUGGGUAGGUUGGCGCAUGGCCAGAAAACCCUGGCUGGCGCCAUGAACAACUUGGCGCAGGGUCAGGAGACCCUUAUCGCCGCCGUCAACAACUUGGCGCGCCAACAUGAGACCCGCCACAAUGAGAUUCUCUCCCUGUUCCGUAUGGCCCUCGCUGUGCUUGCCCCCGCAGCUCCUCCUCCCCGGCAGCCCUCGCACGAAUAACUGCGAGGCAGCAUGCCCUUACGGCAAACGUCGUCGAUGUAAAUAUUGUAAAUGUAAUGUAAAUAUUGUAAAUAUUAUGUAAAUAUUGUAAAUAUUAUGUAAAUAUUGUAAAUAUUAUGUAAAUAUUGUAAAUAUUAUGUAAAUAUUGUAAAUAUUAUGUAAAGUAUAGCGUAAACAAGUGUAAGUAAAUGCUUCCCUGAACAUA
Molecule: long non-coding RNA, 11968 nt
Organism: Ornithodoros turicata
Lineage: Eukaryota; Metazoa; Arthropoda; Arachnida; Ixodida; Argasidae
Exons: 2
Source: RefSeq, a predicted model, not a curated record